GAUGAACGCUAGCUACAGGCUUAACACAUGCAAGUCGAGGGGAAACGGCAUUAAGUGCUUGCACUUUUUGGACGUCGACCGGCGCACGGGUGAGUAACGCGUAUCCAACCUUCCCAUGACUAAGGGAUAACCUGCCGAAAGGCAGACUAAUACCUUAUGGUCUUCACUGACGGCAUCAGAUGUGAAGUAAAGAUUUAUCGGUUAUGGAUGGUGAUGCGUCUGAUUAGCUUGUUGGCGGGGUAACGGCCCACCAAGGCAACGAUCAGUAGGGGUUCUGAGAGGAAGGUCCCCCACAUUGGAACUGAGACACGGUCCAAACUCCUACGGGAGGCAGCAGUGAGGAAUAUUGAUCAAUGGGCGAGAGCCUGAACCAGCCAAGUAGCGUGCAGGAUGACGGCCCUAUGGGUUGUAAACUGCUUUUGUAUGGGGAUAAAGUCAAUCACGUGUGAUUGUUUGCAGGUACCAUACGAAUAAGGACCGGCUAAUUCCGUG
Molecule: ribosomal RNA, 492 nt
Filed under: uncultured bacterium
Lineage: Bacteria
Description: partial 16S ribosomal RNA
Rfam family: Bacterial small subunit ribosomal RNA
Source: RNAcentral